UAAUAACCUCAUGAACUGGCUGUACCAGGA
RNAcentral lists this non-coding RNA (30 nucleotides) under Mus musculus (house mouse). Lineage: Eukaryota; Metazoa; Chordata; Mammalia; Rodentia; Muridae. The record is from RNAcentral.